CACCCCUCACAAGUGCCUCAUUCAAGGGCCCUACUUAGCCUUGUACUGCAGAGUGCCCAAAACGAAAACGUUUCCCCCAAGUGGGUUAAUCUCAUAAGAGCAGACAUUAUUCUGUGAGAGUAGGACCUGCCAAAGAUGUGGUACAUUGACAUUGUGGCAGGCUUAUGCAAUGUAUGAUCAUAUAAUGUAACUAAACCCCCAUUAUUUU
Pelobates cultripes (western spadefoot toad) is the source of this 208-nucleotide non-coding RNA. Lineage: Eukaryota; Metazoa; Chordata; Amphibia; Anura; Pelobatidae. The record is from the annotation of a GenBank genome assembly.